This 630-nucleotide ribosomal RNA is filed under the name uncultured bacterium. Its description in RNAcentral is "bacterial SSU rRNA". It matches the Rfam family "Bacterial small subunit ribosomal RNA", at positions 233 to 863 of the family's 1533-position model. The record is from RNAcentral.
GCGUCUGAUUAGGUAGUUGGUGAGGUAAUGGCUCACCAAGCCGACGAUCAGUAGGGGUUCUGAGAGGAUUACCCCCCACACUGGUACUGAGACACGGACCAGACUCCUACGGGAGGCAGCAGUGAGGAAUAUUGGUCAAUGGCCGGAAGGCUGAACCAGCCAUCCCGCGUGCAGGAUGACGGCCCUAUGGGUUGUAAACUGCUUUUGUACCUGAAGAAACCUGGUUACGAGUAACCAGUUGCCGGUAAGGUAUGAAUAAGCAUCGGCUAACUCCGUGCCAGCAGCCGCGGUAAUACGGAGGAUGCAAGCGUUAUCCGGAUUCAUUGGGUUUAAAGGGUGCGCAGGUGGGAAAAUAAGUCAGUGGUGAAAUACUGCCGCUUAACGGUAGAAUUGCCAUUGAUACUGUUUUUCUUGAGUAUGGUUGAGGUAGGUGGAAUGUGUUGUGUAGCGGUGAAAUGCAUAGAUAUGACACAGAACGCCGAUUGCGAAGGCAGCUUACUAAGCCAUUACUGACGCUGAGGCACGAAAGCGUGGGGAUCGAACAGGAUUAGAUACCCUGGUAGUCCACGCCGUAAACGAUGAUCACUCGCUGUUUGCGAUAUACAGCAAGCGGCUGAGCGAAAGCAUUAA